This 89-nucleotide transfer RNA is filed under the name Candidatus Gottesmanbacteria bacterium. Its description in RNAcentral is "tRNA-Leu". It matches the Rfam family "tRNA". Rfam says of the family: Transfer RNA (tRNA) molecules are approximately 80 nucleotides in length. Their secondary structure includes four short double-helical elements and three loops (D, anti-codon, and T loops). The record is from RNAcentral. Lineage: Bacteria; Candidatus Gottesmaniibacteriota.
GCCCAGAUGGUGAAAUUGGUAGACACGCUAGCUUCAGGAGCUAGUGGCAGUAAAAUGCCUUGGAGGUUCGAAUCCUCUUCUGGGCACCA